Molecule: ribosomal RNA, 484 nt
Filed under: uncultured bacterium
Lineage: Bacteria
Description: partial 16S ribosomal RNA
Rfam family: Bacterial small subunit ribosomal RNA
Source: RNAcentral
AUUGAACGCUGGCGGCAGGCCUAACACAUGCAAGUCGAGCGGAUGAAGGGAGCUUGCUCCUGGAUUCAGCGGCGGGCGGGUGAGUAAUGCCUAGGAAUCUGCCUGGUAGUGGGGGAUAACGUCCGGAAACGGGCGCUAAUACCGCAUACGUCCUGAGGGAGAAAGUGGGGGAUCUUCGGACCUCACGCUAUCAGAUGAGCCUAGGUCGGAUUAGCUAGUUGGUGGGGUAAAGGCCUACCAAGGCGACGAUCCGUAACUGGUCUGAGAGGAUGAUCAGUCACACUGGAACUGAGACACGGUCCAGACUCCUACGGGAGGCAGCAGUGGGGAAUAUUGGACAAUGGGCGAAAGCCUGAUCCGGCCAUGCCGCGUGUGUGAAGAAGGUCUUCGGAUUGUAAAGCACUUUAAGUUGGGAGGAAGGGCAGUAAGUUAAUACCUUGCUGUUUUGACGUUACCAACAGAAUAUGCACCGGCUAACUUCGUG